RNAcentral lists this unclassified non-coding RNA (840 nucleotides) under Hevea brasiliensis (rubber tree). Lineage: Eukaryota; Viridiplantae; Streptophyta; Magnoliopsida; Malpighiales; Euphorbiaceae. The record is from RNAcentral.
GGCAUUCCGAAAUUGCAUAUCAAUCAAGUAUAUAGGUACACAUCUUUCAAAAGAAAUAAAAAGAAAAGGUCUGACAAAAGUACAUCCUCAUAAUUAAUUUUAGGCCAGGCGAAUUUCACGAUAAACCCCGGCCAAUUGCUAAAGAGAUUUUACUUCAAACAAGAUUGUUGCCUACCAUCUGGGAUUGCAAAUAGGACUAUCGGUUUCGAUGGCCUGACAUAUGGAACAUCGCAUCUGAAAUAGCCCUUCCUCUCUAACUGCAAUAUGUCUCCACGCUUUAUGUUUCGCAUGUUUGAAUCCCCAACAGCAACCGUCUCCUUUUUUGUGCAUGGAUUUAAUACAUCAAGAAAAUCCUCCCCUUCUUCAAGCUUCUUUUUUGUGAUUAAAUAAUCAUACUCCAUAAGUGAGAGGGUGACUAGUUCGUUUAUAUCAGGCAGCCAAGUGGCCUUCAACUUCGUGGUCUUCACAGAACCUUCGAGAUGCAAAAUUCCUGACAAAUGUGUAACAAAUCCAUCUUGAUCCUUCUCGAUGCCUUUCACUAUUGCAUUACCCCAGUCCAUUAGGGUGAUUUCUUCAUCCACCUUGAUACAUUGUGCAUCCACUUGGUCGAUCCAUAUCCUCUUUGUGAAAGUGGAAGAUUUUUCACCAGCACCUUCAUAUUUUUUAUGCUUUGGCACUACUCGAAUAAAUGGUAUCUCUGGACCAUUAUCAAGGGUAAAUAGCACACGUCGUUCUUCUAUAACAGCAGUAUGUCUGGGACACACAGGAUCGAUAAUCUUCUUAUUAAUGGUCCAUAGUUUAUCCCAUUCCAUAAGAUUGAGAUUUUUUGAUGCCCCCUGU